GCAGGGGUACCCUAGUCUGGGCAACGGGGCUGGCCUUAAGAGCCGGUGGCGCAGGCCUCCGCAGGUUCGAAUCCUGCCCCCUGCA
This 85-nucleotide transfer RNA is filed under the name Thermoplasmatales archaeon SW_10_69_26. RNAcentral's name for it is "tRNA-Leu". It matches the Rfam family "tRNA". Rfam says of the family: Transfer RNA (tRNA) molecules are approximately 80 nucleotides in length. Lineage: Archaea; Methanobacteriati; Thermoplasmatota; Thermoplasmata; Thermoplasmatales. The record is from RNAcentral.